This 1147-nucleotide ribosomal RNA is filed under the name Bacillus zhangzhouensis. RNAcentral describes it as "bacterial SSU rRNA". It matches the Rfam family "Bacterial small subunit ribosomal RNA", at positions 132 to 1258 of the family's 1533-position model. Lineage: Bacteria; Bacillati; Bacillota; Bacilli; Caryophanales; Bacillaceae. The record is from RNAcentral.
GUAAGACUGGGAUAACUCCGGGAAACCGGAGCUAAUACCGGAUAGUUCCUUGAACCGCAUGGUUCAAGGAUGAAAGACGGUUUCGGCUGUCACUUACAGAUGGACCCGCGGCGCAUUAGCUAGUUGGUGGGGUUCAAGGAUAAUGGCUCACCAAGGCGACGAUGCGUAGCCGACCUGAGAGGGUGAUCGGCCACACUGGGACUGAGACACGGCCCAGACUCCUACGGGAGGCAGCAGUAGGGAAUCUUCCGCAAUGGACGAAAGUCUGACGGAGCAACGCCGCGUGAGUGAUGAAGGUUUUCGGAUCGUAAAGCUCUGUUGUUAGGGAAGAACAAGUGCGAGAGUAACUGCUCGCACCUUGACGGUACCUAACCAGAAAGCCACGGCUAACUACGUGCCAGCAGCCGCGGUAAUACGUAGGUGGCAAGCGUUGUCCGGAAUUAUUGGGCGUAAAGGGCUCGCAGGCGGUUUCUUAAGUCUGAUGUGAAAGCCCCCGGCUCAACCGGGGAGGGUCAUUGGAAACUGGGAAACUUGAGUGCAGAAGAGGAGAGUGGAAUUCCACGUGUAGCGGUGAAAUGCGUAGAGAUGUGGAGGAACACCAGUGGCGAAGGCGACUCUCUGGUCUGUAACUGACGCUGAGGAGCGAAAGCGUGGGGAGCGAACAGGAUUAGAUACCCUGGUAGUCCACGCCGUAAACGAUGAGUGCUAAGUGUUAGGGGGUUUCCGCCCCUUAGUGCUGCAGCUAACGCAUUAAGCACUCCGCCUGGGGAGUACGGUCGCAAGACUGAAACUCAAAGGAAUUGACGGGGGCCCGCACAAGCGGUGGAGCAUGUGGUUUAAUUCGAAGCAACGCGAAGAACCUUACCAGGUCUUGACAUCCUCUGACAACCCUAGAGAUAGGGCUUUCCCUUCGGGGACAGAGUGACAGGUGGUGCAUGGUUGUCGUCAGCUCGUGUCGUGAGAUGUUGGGUUAAGUCCCGCAACGAGCGCAACCCUUGAUCUUAGUUGCCAGCAUUUAGUUGGGCACUCUAAGGUGACUGCCGGUGACAAACCGGAGGAAGGUGGGGAUGACGUCAAAUCAUCAUGCCCCUUAUGACCUGGGCUACACACGUGCUACAAUGGACAGAACAAAGGGCUGCGAGACCGC